This 476-nucleotide ribosomal RNA is filed under the name uncultured bacterium. RNAcentral's name for it is "bacterial SSU rRNA". It matches the Rfam family "Bacterial small subunit ribosomal RNA", at positions 28 to 507 of the family's 1533-position model. The record is from RNAcentral.
GAUGAACGCUGGCGGCGUGCCUAACACAUGCAAGUCGAACGAAGCACUUCGAUUUCUUCGGAAUGAAAAAGUGACUGAGUGGCGGACGGGUGAGUAACGCGUGGGUAACCUGCCUCGUACAGGGGGAUAACAGUUAGAAAUGACUGCUAAUACCGCAUAACCCGCUAGGGUCGCAUGACCCAGACGGAAAAGAUUUAUCGGUACGAGAUGGACCCGCGUCUGAUUAGCUAGUUGGUGAGGUUAAACGGGCCCCACCAAGGCGACGAUCAGUAGCCGGCCUGAGAGGGUGAACGGCCACAUUGGGACUGAGACACGGCCCAAACUCCUACGGGAGGCAGCAGUGGGGAAUAUUGCACAAUGGGGGAAACCCUGAUGCAGCAACGCCGCGUGAGUGAAGAAGUAUUUCGGUAUGUAAAGCUCUAUCAGCAGGGAAGAAAAUGACGGUACCUGACUAAGAAGCCCCGGCUAACUACGUG